Non-coding RNA from Pelodiscus sinensis (Chinese soft-shelled turtle), 521 nucleotides. Lineage: Eukaryota; Metazoa; Chordata; Testudines; Trionychidae. The record is from RefSeq and is a predicted model, not a curated record.
CCCGGGCCGCUGAAGGAGUUUCCAAGAGAACCGGGUUUUCAUAACAGCCAAGCUGCAGCAGGGUUGAUCUAUGCUGCUGACUCUGGGGUGGAUCACUACCCCAUGGUACUGGAAAUUCCUUAUCUGCAUUUAAUUGGCUGAAUGCCUGAAGCCCCCUCCUUCCGGUGCAUCUCCAGAGUUGCUUAACCCUUUCCUCACUCUACAGGUAAGUCAGACUCUCCUUAGCAGCUCCUAUUCACGGCAGACCUUAAAUACCUUGCUUCUAUAGGCUUCAGCUUAAAACUCCCCAAGGUCACCACCAAGUGAAAACCUCCUUCUUCGUUGACCCAGGAAGAAACACUUGAACUUCUUCCAGAGGGGUACCCCCAACUCUUUUACCACAAGAGAGCUCGAAGGGAAAAAAAAGAAAACAAACUGUGUCUCUGAUAGCUGACUUCUCAGGCUAGGCAGGCACACGCAGACCUGUUUCCUUCCAGGGCACACAAAUCAAAUCACCACCUUAAAGGUGAUUUUUAUUAACA